CUGUAAACGAUGUCGAUUUGGAGGUUGUUCCCUUGAGGAGUGGCUUCCGGAGCUAACGCGUUAAAUCGACCGCUGGGGAGUACGGCCGCAAGGUUAAAACUCAAAUGAAUUGACGGGGGCCCGCACAAGCGGUGGAGCAUGUGGUUUAAUUCGAUGCAACGCGAAGAACCUUACCUACUCUUGACAUCCAGAGAAUUUAGCAGAGAUGCUUUAGUGCCUUCGGGAACUCUGAGACAGGUGCUGCAUGGCUGUCGUCAGCUCGUGUUGUGAAAUGUUGGGUUAAGUCCCGCAACGAGCGCAACCCUUAUCCUUUGUUGCCAGCACAUUAUGGUGGGAACUCAAAGGAGACUGCCGGUGAUAAACCGGAGGAAGGUGGGGAUGACGUCAAGUCAUCAUGGCCCUUACGAGUAGGGCUACACACGUGCUACAAUGGCGUAUACAAAGAGAAGCGACCUCGCGAGAGCAAGCGGAACUCAUAAAGUACGUCGUAGUCCGGAUUGGAGCCUGCAACUCGACUCCAUGAAGUCGGAAUCGCUAGUAAUCGUAGAUCAGAAUGCUACGGUGAAUACGUUCCCGGGCCUUGUACACACCGCCCGUCACACCAUGGGAGUGGGUUGCAAAAGAAGUAGGUAGCUUAACCUUCGGGAGGGCGCUUACCACUUUGUGAUUCAUGACUGGGGUGAAGUCGUAACAAGGUAACCA
This 702-nucleotide ribosomal RNA is filed under the name uncultured Providencia sp. RNAcentral describes it as "bacterial SSU rRNA". It matches the Rfam family "Bacterial small subunit ribosomal RNA", at positions 800 to 1502 of the family's 1533-position model. Lineage: Bacteria; Pseudomonadati; Pseudomonadota; Gammaproteobacteria; Enterobacterales; Morganellaceae. The record is from RNAcentral.